This 627-nucleotide ribosomal RNA is filed under the name uncultured bacterium. RNAcentral's name for it is "bacterial SSU rRNA". It matches the Rfam family "Bacterial small subunit ribosomal RNA", at positions 9 to 639 of the family's 1533-position model. The record is from RNAcentral.
GAGUUUGAUCAUGGCUCAGGAUGGACGCUGGCGGCAGGCUUAACACAUGCAAGUCGAGGGGUAUUCUAGCAAUAGGAGAGACCGGCGCACGGGUGCGUAGCGCGUAUGCAAUCUACCUUUCACAGAGGGAUAGCCCAGAGAAAUUUGGAUUAAUACCUCAUAGUAUAAUGACUCGGCAUCGAGAUAUUAUUAAAGUCACAACGGUGAAAGAUGAGCAUGCGUCCCAUUAGCUAGUUGGUAAGGUAACGGCUUACCAAGGCGACGAUGGGUAGGGGUCCUGAGAGGGAGAUCCCCCACACUGGUACUGAGACACGGACCAGACUCCUACGGGAGGCAGCAGUGAGGAAUAUUGGACAAUGGGCGCAAGCCUGAUCCAGCCAUGCCGCGUGCAGGAUGACGGUCCUAUGGAUUGUAAACUGCUUUUGCACAGGAAGAAACACCCCCUCGUGAGGGGGCUUGACGGUACUGUGAGAAUAAGGAUCGGCUAACUCCGUGCCAGCAGCCGCGGUAAUACGGAGGAUCCAAGCGUUAUCCGGAAUCAUUGGGUUUAAAGGGUCCGUAGGCGGUUUAGUAAGUCAGUGGUGAAAGCCCAUCGCUCAACGGUGGAACGGCCAUUGAUACUGCUAG